CCCCAAAAAAGAAAUGAUGGAGUAAGACAUUGUCGGUUAAAUCCUUAGAUGGAUUGCAUUCAUUCCUAAGUAUAAAAAGGUUCACUUGCACGCUGAAGUGCAUAAUCUGAUCCGAAACUUGAACGGUAGAAGAUACGAGAACGUCCAGUAACAAAGAUGGCAAAUUUACUAUUCCUAACAACUAUGAUGCUGGUUUUCGCGUCUGUAUUCUGCGCUCCGCAGUUCGUUCAACCAGUUCACCCAAUUCAACAUCUUCCGGCUUCUGAUGCUUACUUUCCGCCAGGUGGACAUCCGCUUCUCGGUGGGCUCCCACUUCUCGGUGGCCUGAACCUGGGAGGAGGCGGAUUGCUUGGCCCGCUUUUUAGUCUAGUGCUUGGUAGACCAGGACUUCAAAUUUGAAUUGAUUGUGCAGUGGAAAAACUAAAUAAUGACAAAUUUUACGGAUUGAUUGAUUAAAUUUUCAUAAUUUUUCA
Long non-coding RNA from Hermetia illucens (black soldier fly), 473 nucleotides. RefSeq lists it as uncharacterized. The record is from RefSeq and is a predicted model, not a curated record. The transcript has 2 exons. Lineage: Eukaryota; Metazoa; Arthropoda; Insecta; Diptera; Stratiomyidae.